RNAcentral lists this ribosomal RNA (1970 nucleotides) under human gut metagenome. RNAcentral's name for it is "bacterial LSU rRNA". It matches the Rfam family "Bacterial large subunit ribosomal RNA", at positions 1 to 1983 of the family's 2925-position model. The record is from RNAcentral.
GAAAGUAAUGAAGGGCGUACGGUGGAUGCCUAGGCUCUUACAGGCGAUGAAGGACGUGAUAAGCUGCGAAAAGCCGCGGUGAGGCGCAAAUGGCCCUUGACCCGCGGAUCUCCGAAUGGGACAACCCAAUAUCUUGAAGAGAUAUUAUCCCGCCGAUGCGGGAGGCGAACGCGGGGAACUGAAACAUCUUAGUACCCGCAGGAAAAGAAAAUAAAGAAUGAUUCCCCCAGUAGUGGCGAGCGACCGGGGAAGAGCCCAAACCGACGUUGUCUCGGCAUCGUCGGGGUUGUAGGACCGCGCCAUCGCAAGAAAGGCCGUGAGUGGAAGCGACUGGAAAGCCGCGCCAUAGAGGGUGACAGCCCCUUACACGAAGCAGCCCGAAGCGUAGCGGACUCCUGAGUAGCGCGGGACACGAGUAAUCCUGUGUGAAUCCGCCGGGCCCAUCCGGCAAGGCUAAAUACUCGUAAGAGACCGAUAGUGAACCAGUACCGUGAGGGAAAGGUGAAAAGUACCCCUUGCAGGGGAGUGAAAGAGUUCCUGAAACCGUACGCCUACAAGCGGUCGGAGCAUCUUGAAUGAUGUGACGGCGUGCCUUUUGCAUAAUGAACCUACGAGUUGCCGUCACCAGCGAGGUUAAGUGCGAUGACGCACCGAGCCGCAGCGGAAGCGAGUCUUAAAAUGGCGCGAUAGUUGGUGGAGGCAGACGCGAAACCGAGUGAUCUACACUUGUCCAGGAUGAAGUCCCGGUAACACGGGAUGGAGGUCCGCACCAAUAAGCGUUGAAAAGCUUCUGGAUGAGGUGAGUGUAGGAGUGAAAGGCCAAUCAAACUCGGAGAUAGCUCGUACUCCCCGAAAGGCAUUUAGGUGCCGCCUGUGGCGUUCCCGACGUGAGGUAGAGCGACUGAUAGGAUGCGAGGGCUUCACCGCCUAUCAAGUCCUGACAAACUCCGAAUGCACGUCGGCCAAGCCAUGGAGUAAGGGCAUGGGUGCUAAGGUCCGUGCCCGAGAGGAGAAGAAUCCAGACCACCGGCUAAGGUCCCGAAAUACUGGUUAAGUUAGACUAACGCAGUCCGGCCCCCAAGACAGCUAGGAUGUUGGCUUGGAAGCAGCCAUUCAUUCAAAGAGUGCGUAACAGCUCACUAGUCGAGGAGCUGGGCGUGGAUAAUAAUCGGGUAUGAAACCAGUUACCGAAGCCGUGGGAUGCUUAAGCAUCGGUAGGGGAGCAUUGCAUGCGGCUUAGAAGGCGGGGCGCGAGCCCCUCUGGAGCGCAUGGAAACGCAAAUGUAGGUAUAAGUAACGACAAGGGGGGUGGGAUGCCCCCCCGCCGAAAGACCAAGGUUUCCUGAACAACGCUAAUCGGUUCAGGGUCAGUCGGGUCCUAAGCAUAAGCCGUAUGGCGAGGGCGAUGGACGAAACGGUUAAUAUUCCGUUACUGUCUUGGUGUGUGACGCGGCGACGGAGUAGUGACACGGCCGCCUCCUGACGGAAAAGGGGGUUGAAGCGCAAAGGUGUCGAGGAAGGCAGGCAAAUCCACCUUCCGAGCCGAAGCGCGAAAGUACGCCGGGCCCUUUGGGGCAAGGCGAUAGUGCCGGUAAUCAGACUUCCAAGAAAACCCGCUAAACUUCAGCACCAAGUCACCCGUACUCUAAACGGACACACGUGGUCGGGUAGAAUAUACUAAGGCGCUUGGGAGAUUCACGGUUAAGGAACUAGGCAAAUUGACCCCGUACCUUCGGAAUAAGGGGUCCUCGCUUUUGCGAGGCGCAGAGAAUAGGUCCAGGCAACUGUUUAACAAAAACACAGGGCUGUGCAAAUUUGAAAGAAGAAGUAUACAGCCUGACACCUGCCCGGUGCCGGAAGGUUAAGAGGAGAGCUCAUCAGCGAUGAGAAGGCUUGAAUUGAAGCCCCGGUAAACGGCGGCCGUAACUAUAACGGUCCUAAGGUAGCGAAAUUCCUUGUCGGGUAAGUUC